UGGGUUUGGUUAAGAAAACUUCAGAGUAAUUUAGAGAGAGAGAUGGGUUGUGUUGCUUUGACUUCUCUCAUGGCGACAAUAGAGCUCCAGUUUCUGCGAUCCAUUCCGAGGGUAUCAAUUCUUGACGAUGAAUUACCAAUGAAAUUCUUUGAAAAGCUUUCAUCUUUGCAAGCUUUUCUGCAGGAAAAAUCCAGGGGUAGUGGUGCUGCAAUCCAAGAUUUGGAGAUACAGAUCAGAGACUUCGCACUGAAUGCCGAAGACCGCAUCGAAAUACAACUCAGCAACUUCCUUUUGUCCAAGAACAGAGAGGAUCAACAAAAAGCUGCACAGAAACUCCAUCAAACCUUGAUAGAAGCAGCAGAAAACGCAGCUCACUUGCUGAAAAUCAUCAAUGAAUCUGAUGAUGAGUCAAAUGAAUGUCAAUCACUGAUUCCUUGGUCGUUGGAUACAUCCUUGCGGCUGCAGCCUCCAAAGCUGGAGGGCAAAAUGGUGGGUCGUCGCCAUGAUUACUUACUGGUAAAGAAUCAACUCCUCUAUAGCGAUCAACGAAGAGUUAUCCUCAUUGUCGGGAUGAAUGGUAUUGGAAAGACAACUUUAGCUGCGAGUGUUUAUGAGGAUUCAUCAGUUGCAUCGCACUUUGAUGUUCGAGCUUGGAUUACUAUGUCUGGAGAAUACAACGUGAGGCAAACGCUACACGACCUUCUUUUGACACUAGUAGAGCCAGAUCAUGAAACUAGAAAGAGAACAACUCUUGAUGAUGAUGAUGAUCUACUAGCUAAGCAGGUAUCCAAAUGCUUGAAAGGUAAGAGAUAUCUUAUUGUUUUGGAUAACUUAUGGAACAAUCGAGUUUGGGAUGACAUCCAAGGAUAUUUUCCUAAUGAUAAUAAUGGAAGUCGUAUAGUGCUGACCACUACACACUUUGAUCAGGGUUCCUACACUUCACUUGAUUGUAUCCAUAACAUGGCUUUGCUAGAUUCAAAGGAAAGUUGGGAUUUAUUUUGUAGUGAUCCUUUUCUUGAAAAACAUAUGGCACCUAAAUUUGAAAAAAUUAGGAGUCAUGUUUUGGAGAAAUGUGAAGGAUUACCGUUGUCAAUUGUUACCGUGGCACAACGUUUGUCUAAAUGUAACAACAUACGAAAGGAAUGGGAGAAGGUUGAAAAGGAAUUAGAGUUGUUAGGAUUUCUAGAUAGCUCUGCUCUCACCCUUAGGUACAAUCAAUUGCCACAAUAUUUGAAAGUUUGCUUUCUCUAUCUUGGAGUAUUCCCGAAGCGUACUGUAAUCCGAGUCAAACAGCUUGUUAGGUUAUGGAUUGCUGAGGGAGUUUUGAAUCCAUUUGGGAAUGAAGGUCUAGAAAGUCAAGCUUAUGAGUACUUACGGGGGCUUAUUGAUAGAAGUCUUGUCUCAAUUGAAAAUUGGAGUUCUGAUGGAAAAAUUAAGAGUUGUAAAAUGCAUAGCGCUUUGCAUAGCUUUUGUGUAAGAGAAGCUCAGAAGAGUAGCAUUUUGUGUGCUGUAAAUACUCAGCAAUAUCCACAAGGGUCAUUUAACAUGUUUGCAAAUUCAUGUCGCUGGUUAAGUUUAUACAAACAUAGUUUUGACUAUUAUGUGUUGUUUAGAACAAACACUCCUCGCUCCAUUUUCUUCUUUCAAAAAGAUGAUGAAAUAUCUGUACCGUUCAAGUUGUUAAGAGUUUUGGCUUCUGCUCCAUCUUCAUUUUUCCAAAGAGUGCCAACACAAUUACAUGACUUAAUUUUUUUGAGAUACCUAUCCGUAAAAGAAUGGUUUAAGGGUCUAGAUUAUAUUGUGUCAGCUAAUAGAAACUUGCAGACACUUGUUGUUUCCGAUAGUAAUGAAUCCCAACCAAGAGGACCUACUCUCCAUUUGCCUUCUACAAUUUGGGAGUCACCACAGUUACAACAUCUCGAACUUGACAGUUCAUAUGUGAUUGAUCCGCCAAGCAUGAUUAAAGAUAAUAUGCAGACAUUAUCUUGGGUGUGUCCAACUCAUUGUAGAACGGAAGUGUAUCGCAAGUUUCCAAACAUUAAAAAGUUGAAAAUUUUUGGAUUUUGCGACAGCCCUAUUAUUUUGGAUGAUUUAAACUAUUUGGUGCGGCUUGAGAGGUUAACAAUUUCAGUUUCAUUUGGAUGCAUUGUAACCCUUCCAAAACCUUCUAUGUUUCCUUCACGACUGAAAAAGUUGUCAUUGAAUGAUACUAGCCUUUCUAAGAAGGAUUUAAUGAUAAUUGGCAUGUUGCCCCAACUUGAGGUGUUGAAGUUGAAAAAUGUUUUUCAUGGGGAAGUAUGGGAAAUAGUUGAAGGCCGAAGAUUCAAUCAAUUAAGAUUCUUGCAUCUUGAAGAUAAAAAGCUCAAGAAAUGGAUGGCUAAUAAAGAGUCGUUCCAAUGUCUUGAACGCUUAGUUCUAAGAUUUUGUUGUUGUUUGGAAAAAAUUCCUCGCAUGAUGAAUUAUGUUAUCACCUUGAAGUCAAUUGAAUUAGAGGGGUGUGGUCCUUUUGUUGUUGUUUCGGCAUUGCACAUUCAGGAAUUUCGAAACUAUAUUUCAGACAUAAAUUUUGAGGUCAAAAUCAAGGGAUCUGAAGCACAAAGCUUGGCUUGAUUGCAUGCUACAAAAUGUAUAGAUCAAAAUAUUGUUUCAGAUUUCCCUCAAUAGGAAUACCUUCAAGUUAUAGGAAUGCUUAGAUCAAAUUUGAAGGAUGUGAAUAUGAUGAAUCAUAGUGCGCAUACACAAGCUAAGUGACUGGGAGGAAUAUCUCAAAUUCUCCAGUAUAAUGGUGAAUUUCAAUUUACAAGCUAAGGAAGAUCAAGUUGAAGAUAAUAUAAUGACUUUUUCUUUUAAGUGUACUUUCAGUUGGGAAUAUAUGUUAUAAUGCACUUUGUAGUUAUAAUGCACUUUUCAGUUGCAUAAUUGUGGAAAUAUUUCUAAUGUUUGUAUGGAAUGGAGUCUUAUUCAUGCA
Molecule: RNA transcript, 2968 nt
Organism: Ipomoea triloba (trilobed morning glory)
Lineage: Eukaryota; Viridiplantae; Streptophyta; Magnoliopsida; Solanales; Convolvulaceae
Gene name: putative late blight resistance protein homolog R1B-23
Exons: 3
Source: RefSeq, a predicted model, not a curated record